This is a long non-coding RNA of Zea mays, 444 nucleotides long. RefSeq lists it as uncharacterized. The transcript is spliced from 2 exons. The record is from RefSeq and is a predicted model, not a curated record. Lineage: Eukaryota; Viridiplantae; Streptophyta; Magnoliopsida; Poales; Poaceae.
UCCCCUCCUCCCAAGGUGCCAAUCCUUGCCGCUCGGAUCGUCGUCUCGUGGUGCGAAUCUCCAACCGUUUUGGUGGAGAGAAGAAGGGAGGAAGAAAAGGGGGAGAACCCAAGGCACCUAAUUUCUGCUUUGGGGAAUAGAGGGAUGUACCAGCACGGCCACUACACCUUUAAUAAAGGAACCACCAUUUAAUAAUGUUGUUAAUCAGAGUUGGACAAGACUAGUGAAUUGCUUUGUUCUUGGUUGAGCGUUUAUUUUGGGGUGGGCUGAGUUUCUUAUCCCAUUUGUUUUACUUCAGUUGGGUCAUAAUUAGGUUUUACCACUUUUGCAUUAUAGUUUCUACUAUGUGAGUUAUAUGUCUUUAUAUCUUGUAUGAGCUUCAUGUUUCCCCUCCUUGUUAUGCUAGUUUUCAAAAGAGGUGCUGCCGGAUUUUUUCUUGCUUUA